This 467-nucleotide ribosomal RNA is filed under the name uncultured bacterium. RNAcentral describes it as "partial 16S ribosomal RNA". It matches the Rfam family "Bacterial small subunit ribosomal RNA", at positions 28 to 506 of the family's 1533-position model. The record is from RNAcentral.
GACGAACGCUGGCGGCGUGCUUAACACAUGCAAGUCGAACGGAAAGGCCCUGCUUUUGUGGGGUGCUCGAGUGGCGAACGGGUGAGUAACACGUGAGUAACCUGCCCUUGACUUUGGGAUAACUUCAGGAAACUGGGGCUAAUACCGGAUAGGAGCUCCUGCUGCAUGGUGGGGGUUGGAAAGUUUCGGCGGUUGGGGAUGGACUCGCGGCUUAUCAGCUUGUUGGUGGGGUAGUGGCUUACCAAGGCUUUGACGGGUAGCCGGCCUGAGAGGGUGACCGGCCACAUGGGGGUGGGGAUAGGGCCCAGACCCCUAGGGGGGGCAGGGGGGGGGAAUUUUGCAAAAGGGGCGGAGGCCUGAGGCAGCAACCCCGGGGGGGGGAUGACGGCCUUGGGGUUGGAAACCGCUUUCGCCUGGGACGAAGGGGGAGUGGCGGUAAUGGGUAAAGAAGCACCGGCUAACUACGU